UAUCCCCUGCGGUGUUCGACAGCCGGCCAGAUAUUCCCUUGAGCCUAUGCUGAAGCACCUCGGGGCCGGGUCACGGUAGCCGGUGUGCAUGCCCGUCCUAGAGCGGGAAGCCUGAAGCGCCGUUCCGACCCCACUUGAACCUCACGGUUCAAGGAGCACGGCAGGCACCGGCACAGGCGGGGGAUAC
This 187-nucleotide non-coding RNA is filed under the name Gammaproteobacteria bacterium. Its description in RNAcentral is "6S RNA". It matches the Rfam family "6S / SsrS RNA". From Rfam's summary of the family: E. coli 6S RNA was the first non coding RNA to be sequenced, but its function was unknown until recently. It consists of 184 nucleotides that fold into an extended hairpin structure with a large single-stranded internal bulge. Lineage: Bacteria; Pseudomonadati; Pseudomonadota; Gammaproteobacteria. The record is from RNAcentral.